AUGGCACAACCUAAUGUCAACAUCAUCUGUUGGAACGUUCGAGGCCUGAACUCGCGUGCCCGCCGGGAUGCCGUUCGGGACAUAGUCCGAGACUCCCAUGCAUCCAUUGUCUGCCUCCAAGAGACAAAACUCCAGGCCGUUGAUGACGCCACCAUCUGCGAGAUGCUUGGCCCGUGUUUCGUCGCAAACUGUUAUAUCCUCCCGGCCGACGACACCCGCGGGGGCUUGAUUCUGGCCGCGUCGGAUCGCUUCUUCACCCUAUCCGACUUCCAUGCAACUCCGGGCUCCAUCUCCGCCACCGUCACCAUGCUUAACGAGCGCGCUUCGUGGACAAUCACGGGCAUCUAUGGCCCGCAGGGCGAGCAAGACAAGUUGGCCUUCAUUGAGGAGCUGAGGACUCUCAAGACCAUGGCCAGAAGCGAGUGGCUCCUUCUGGGGGAUUUCAACCUCAUCACUAAAGCGGUGGAUAAGAGCAACACCAACAUCAACCGCCGCCUGGUGGGCAAGUUCCGUGGGGCUCUUGAUUUCUUGCAGCUAAAGGAGCUUCACCUAGGCGGGCGCCGUUUCACCUGGUCAAAUGCGUAG
This 585-nucleotide ribosomal RNA is filed under the name Triticum aestivum (bread wheat). Its description in RNAcentral is "partial small subunit ribosomal RNA". Lineage: Eukaryota; Viridiplantae; Streptophyta; Magnoliopsida; Poales; Poaceae. The record is from RNAcentral.